GACGAACGCUGGCGGCGUGCUUAACACAUGCAAGUCGAACGAUGAAGCCCUUCGGGGUGGAUUAGUGGCGAACGGGUGAGUAACACGUGGGCAAUCUGCCCUUCACUCUGGGACAAGCCCUGGAAACGGGGUCUAAUACCGGAUAUCACUCCCACUCGCAUGGGUGGGGGUCGAAAGCUCCGGCGGUGAAGGAUGAGCCCGCGGCCUAUCAGCUUGUUGGUGAGGUAAUGGCUCACCAAUGCGACGACGGGUAGCCGGCCUGAGAGGGCGACCGGCCACACUGGGACUGAGACACGGCCCAGACUCCUACGGGAGGCAGCAGUGGGGAAUAUUGCACAAUGGGCGAAAGCCUGAUGCAGCGACGCCGCGUGAGGGAUGACGGCCUUCGGGUUGUAAACCUCUUUCAGGGAAGAAGCGAAAGUGACGGUACCUGCAGAAGAA
RNAcentral lists this ribosomal RNA (441 nucleotides) under Streptomyces davaonensis. RNAcentral's name for it is "bacterial SSU rRNA". It matches the Rfam family "Bacterial small subunit ribosomal RNA", at positions 28 to 489 of the family's 1533-position model. The record is from RNAcentral. Lineage: Bacteria; Bacillati; Actinomycetota; Actinomycetes; Kitasatosporales; Streptomycetaceae. RNAcentral also lists the same sequence under 1 other name.